CUAGGGUGUGAGUGACUCCCUGCAUGAGGCAUCUGCACUUUCGAUGAGCCUUCUCCCCCAGCACUCCCAUGCCAGGCCCGCCCUCGCAGUCCACGGUACAAAAGAGAUGGAAUCUUGUUUGAGUGACGAAGUAUGGAACUGAAAAUUAGGAUAAAACAAAUCAAGAGCAAAAAUAAAUACUGCUUGAUCUCCACCAUAUGCUGAAUCUGAACAAAUCUAUAUUAUAGAAACUGUAAGGAGAACAGUGGUUACCAGAAGCCUCGGCUGCCAUUAGGAUUAUGAUUUUUCUUAAAAGAAGCAAAACACUGAGUUAACUUGAAGUGGAGACUUCUGUUGGCAGGACACUAUGAACUUUGGUAAGGAGUAAUAAGGAUGUAAGUGAGAGAAGCCAUGCAUCAAACAAUCGGAGAGUAACCAGAGCCUGUGGGAGCUGAGGAGAAGAUAA
Long non-coding RNA from Cavia porcellus (domestic guinea pig), 445 nucleotides. RefSeq lists it as uncharacterized. The record is from RefSeq and is a predicted model, not a curated record. The transcript has 3 exons. Lineage: Eukaryota; Metazoa; Chordata; Mammalia; Rodentia; Caviidae.